Molecule: ribosomal RNA, 264 nt
Filed under: uncultured bacterium
Lineage: Bacteria
Description: partial 16S ribosomal RNA
Rfam family: Bacterial small subunit ribosomal RNA
Source: RNAcentral
GUCCACGCUGUAAACUAUGGAUGCUAGCAGUAAGCCGUAUCGACCCGGUUUGUUGCGAAGCUAACGCGUUAAGCAUCCCGCCUGGGUAGUACGGUCGCAAGACUAAAACUCAAAGGAAUUGACGGGGACCCGCACAAGCGGUGGAGCGUGUUGUUUAAUACGAUGGUAAGCGUAUAACCUUACCAGGGUUUGACAUCCUUGGAAUUACUGUGAAAGCAGUGAGUGCCCUCGGGAGCCAAGUGACAGGUGUUGCAUGGCCGUCUU